GGGGUUGUGGCUCAGUGGUAGAGCACUCGCUUUGCACGUGCGAGACCCUGGGUUCGAUCCUCAGCACCACA
This 71-nucleotide transfer RNA is filed under the name Marmota monax (woodchuck). RNAcentral's name for it is "tRNA.Ala". It matches the Rfam family "tRNA". Rfam says of the family: Transfer RNA (tRNA) molecules are approximately 80 nucleotides in length. The record is from RNAcentral. Lineage: Eukaryota; Metazoa; Chordata; Mammalia; Rodentia; Sciuridae.